Non-coding RNA from Phascolarctos cinereus (koala), 425 nucleotides. Lineage: Eukaryota; Metazoa; Chordata; Mammalia; Diprotodontia; Phascolarctidae. The record is from RefSeq and is a predicted model, not a curated record.
GUCUUUAUCAUUCACUUUCAUUUUCCACCCAAACCUCCAGAGUGCCUGAAAGCAAUCCUUGCAGGAACCUUGAUAUCUAUCAAUUCUGGCUGUUGCUGCCCGAAGCAGCUUCAAGAAAGAUGAUGCUUGAUGCCACCCUCUCUACAAGUCACUGAAGGGAGAGAAAGACUGGGAAGAAGUCAACUUGAGAGAAGCUGGAGUUCUCUAUCAUAUUCCUAUUCAAAACUUGUUAGAUAGAAUGGAGACUUCAAGGAAUUUCCCUUUGGGUGAGAUCUGGGAUUCACUCAUUUGGUUGAGCUGAGUAGCCAGCUCCUAAUAGGACAGUAACUUCAAUAUUUAUUGACUGCUAUUUAUUAUCAUAGAUAUAUGCUUUCUUUGAUUUCUCUUUUGCCAUUGGUUUGAAUAAAUGUUUUCUAUGCUAUUUA